Molecule: long non-coding RNA, 830 nt
Organism: Carassius gibelio (silver crucian carp)
Lineage: Eukaryota; Metazoa; Chordata; Actinopteri; Cypriniformes; Cyprinidae
Exons: 3
Source: RefSeq, a predicted model, not a curated record
UACAGUAUGUAGCAUACACUGUAGAAAAUAAUUUCAUUUUUUUUCAUACCAUUUCUUUGUUUUCGUGUUUUGUUUGUGAAAUGUACAAGCUGAAUUUACUGAGUGAAACUUUUAUCAGAUUGUGUGUACACCAGUCAACCUCAAGAUGGUGCCACUGAAUCACUGUGUAUGUCAACUGAGUACAACCGGACGUUCAUCUCCUGUACAGUAACAAAGGCUCACAUGCUGAGAGAAGUGAGUGUUUGUAUCUAUAUGAGUAUGUGUACAGAUCACUUUUUUAUGCAAUGGUUUGCACUCUUUGACACUUGCUUGGAUGGCUUGAGGGGUUGAGCAUAGGUGCUCUGUGCUGACACUGUGCAGGAUGGAAAGACACGGCCUGAGCCAAGACAGGGCUGGAGGGAGGCCACGGUCACACUGCAGAGCCAGUGUCCCGGUCUGAGCCCACCUCAGUGAAGACGAGUUCCCUAAAGUAUUUAGCGCUGACAUAUGUGGGCAGGACACAGAGAGAGGAGAAACCUAGAAGAUUGGUCAGCUUGACAGCGUGAAGAUUGCUUGGCUUUCCUCGUCAUGCAUUCGAUUCCAAAUCCCUUUUUGCUUCAGCUAGAUCACAUAGAUUAUAGAUUUUAGAAAAUAACAUUUAGAAAACGUAUAUUGAGCCGACUUUAAAUUCUAAACAAAUGAGCCAUGUUCAAAGCCACUGUGUAGCAUGACUUUAUAUGCCAAGUAUAACCUAGUUAGAAACCAAAAAGCUUGGCGGCAAAACGGUUUAUGCCAAUAAACGUUGAUCAAGCAAUAUAAAUGACUUUGCUUUUAUAUGGCAGCUCAUAAAA